GCUGAAGUAAGCAUAGCGGCGAUUGCACUACUCUUGUAAGGUAGUAUACCACAUCGUGAGUUCGAGUCUCACCUUCAGCACCA
RNAcentral lists this transfer RNA (83 nucleotides) under Parcubacteria group bacterium ADurb.Bin216. Its description in RNAcentral is "tRNA-Thr". It matches the Rfam family "tRNA". Rfam says of the family: Transfer RNA (tRNA) molecules are approximately 80 nucleotides in length. Their secondary structure includes four short double-helical elements and three loops (D, anti-codon, and T loops). Further hydrogen bonds mediate the characteristic L-shaped molecular structure. tRNAs have two regions of fundamental functional importance: the anti-codon, which is responsible for specific mRNA codon recognition, and the 3' end, to which the tRNAs corresponding amino acid is attached (by aminoacyl-tRNA synthetases). tRNAs cope with the degeneracy of the genetic code in two manners: having more than one tRNA (with a specific anti-codon) for a particular amino acid; and 'wobble' base-pairing, i.e. permitting non-standard base-pairing at the 3rd anti-codon position. The record is from RNAcentral.